CAGCCGCCACGGUAAUACGUAGGUGGCAAGCGUUGUCCGGAAUUAUUGGGCGUAAAGGGCUCGCAGGCGGUUUCUUAAGUCUGAUGUGAAAGCCCCCGGCUCAACCGGGGAGGGUCAUUGGAAACUGGUAAACUUGAGUGCAGAAGAGGAGAGUGGAAUUCCACGUGUAGCGGUGAAAUGCGUAGGGAUGUGGAGGAACACCAGUGGCGAAGGUGACUCUCUGGUCUGUAACUGACGCUGAGGAGCGAAAGCGUGGGGAGCGAACAGGAUUAGAUACCCCUGUAGUCCCUGUCUCUUAUAC
This 301-nucleotide ribosomal RNA is filed under the name uncultured bacterium. RNAcentral describes it as "partial 16S ribosomal RNA". It matches the Rfam family "Bacterial small subunit ribosomal RNA", at positions 509 to 807 of the family's 1533-position model. The record is from RNAcentral.